AUCCAGCUGACGAGUCCCAAAUAGAACGAAGCGCGUGUACUGGAU
Molecule: non-coding RNA, 45 nt
Organism: Schistosoma curassoni
Lineage: Eukaryota; Metazoa; Platyhelminthes; Trematoda; Strigeidida; Schistosomatidae
Source: Rfam